This 1436-nucleotide ribosomal RNA is filed under the name metagenome. RNAcentral describes it as "bacterial SSU rRNA". It matches the Rfam family "Archaeal small subunit ribosomal RNA". The record is from RNAcentral.
ACCCGUUGAUCCUGCGGGAGGUCGCUGCUAUUAGGAUUCGAUUAAGCCAUGCAAGUCAGAGGGUCUCUUCGGAGACACAGGCAAACUGCUCAGUAACACGUUGAUAAUCUGCCUUUAGGUCUGGAAUAACCUUGGAAAACUGAGGCUAAAGCCGGAUAGGGGAUAUUUUCUGGAAUGAUUUUUCCUUGAAAAGUAAUGCCUAAAGAUGAGUCAGCGGUCGAUUAGGCAGUUGGCGGGGUAACGGCCCACCAAACCUAAGAUCGAUAGGGGCCUUGAAAGAGGGAGCCCCGAGAAGGACACUGAGAUACUGGUCCUAGCCCUACGGGGUGCAGCAGGCGCGAAACCUUUACAAUGCACGUAAGUGUGAUAAGGGAAUCCUAAGUGCUCAUACAAUGUAUGGGCUUUUGCCAAGAGUAAGUAUCUUGGAGAAUAAGUGGUGGGCAAGACUGGUGCCAGCAGCCGCGGUAAUACCAGCGCCACAAGUGGGGGCCGGCUUUAUUUGGCCUAAAGCGUCCGUAGCCUGUUCAGUAAAUCUUUUGUGAAAUCAUUAUGCUCAACUUAAUGGCAUGCAGAAGACACUGCUAAACUCGGAACAGGGAGGAGUCAGAAGUAUUUUUGGGGGAGCGGUAAAAUGCAGUAAUCCCAAAAAGACUACCUGUGGCGAAGGCGUCUGACUAGAACUGCUUCGACGGUGAGGGACGACAGCCAGGGGAGCGAUCCGGAUUAGAUACCCGAGUAGUCCUGGCCGUAAACGCUGUGAGCUAGGUGUCGCGUAUUCCACGGGAAUACGCGGUGUCGAAAUGAAGAUGAUAAGCUCACCGCCUGGGAAGUAUAGUCGCAAGACCGAAACUUAAAGGAAUUGGCGGGGGAGCACUACAAGGGGUGCGGCGUGCGGUUUAAUCCAAUUCUACGCGGAAAAUCUCACCAGAGGCGACGGCAGUAUGAAGGUCAGGCUGAAUGUCUUACCAGACGAGCCGAGAGGUAGUGCAUGGCCGCCGUCAGCUCGUGCCGUAAGGUGUCCUGCUAAGUCAGGUAACGAGCGAGACCUGUACCUACAGUUGCUAACGAUUCCAUCGGAAGAUCGAGCACACUGUGGGGACUGCUUCCGAAAGGGAGAGGAAGGUGCAGGCUACGAUAGGUCUGUAUGCUCCGAAUCUUCUGGGCUACACGCGCGCAACAAUGGUAAGGACAAUGGGAUACAACCCCGACAGGGGAAGUCAAACCUCAAAACCUUAUCUCAGUUCAGAUUGAGGAUUGUAACCCAUCCUCAUGACGCUGGAAUCCCUAGUAAUCAGACGUCAUCAUCGUCCGGUGAAUAUGUCCCUGCUCCUUGCACACACCGCCCGUCAAACCACUCGAGCAGGGUUUAGGUGAGCCCUAAUGUGUAAUUAGGUCGAAUCUAAGCUCAGUGAGAUGGGUUAAGUCGUCACAAGGUA